This 301-nucleotide ribosomal RNA is filed under the name uncultured bacterium. Its description in RNAcentral is "partial 16S ribosomal RNA". It matches the Rfam family "Bacterial small subunit ribosomal RNA", at positions 509 to 807 of the family's 1533-position model. The record is from RNAcentral.
CAGUCGCCACGGGAAUACGAAGGGGGCUAGCGUUGCUCGGAAUGACUGGGCGUAAAGGGCGCGUAGGCGGAUUGUUUAGUUAGGCGUGAAAUUCCUGGGCUUAACCUGGGGACUGCGCUUAAUACAGGCAGUCUAGAGUGAGGAAGAGGGUUGUGGAAUUCCCAGUGUAGAGGUGAAAUUCGUAGAUAUUGGGAAGAACACCGGUGGCGAAGGCGGCAACCUGGUCCUUGACUGACGCUGAGGCGCGAAAGCGUGGGGAGCAAACAGGAUUAGAUACCCCGGUAGUCCCUGUCUCUUAUAC